Molecule: ribosomal RNA, 236 nt
Filed under: uncultured bacterium
Lineage: Bacteria
Description: partial 16S ribosomal RNA
Rfam family: Bacterial small subunit ribosomal RNA
Source: RNAcentral
UUGUUCGGAAUUACUGGGCGUAAAGGGCUCGUAGGUGGCCAACUAAGUCGGACGUGAAAUCCCUCAGCUUAACUGGGGAACUGCGUCCGAUACUGGAUGGCUUGAGUUUGGGAGAGGGAUGCGGAAUUCCAGGUGUAGCGGUGAAAUGCGUAGAUAUCUGGAGGAACACCGGUGGCGAAGGCGGCAUCCUGGACCAACACUGACACUGAGGAGCGAAAGCCAGGGGAGCAAACGGG